RNAcentral lists this ribosomal RNA (1427 nucleotides) under Staphylococcus aureus. RNAcentral describes it as "bacterial SSU rRNA". It matches the Rfam family "Bacterial small subunit ribosomal RNA". Lineage: Bacteria; Bacillati; Bacillota; Bacilli; Caryophanales; Staphylococcaceae. The record is from RNAcentral.
ACCUAUAAGACUGGGAUAACUUCGGGAAACCGGAGCUAAUACCGGAUAAUAUUUUGAACCGCAUGGUUCAAAAGUGAAAGACGGUCUUGCUGUCACUUAUAGAUGGAUCCGCGCUGCAUUAGCUAGUUGGUAAGGUAACGGCUUACCAAGGCAACGAUGCAUAGCCGACCUGAGAGGGUGAUCGGCCACACUGGAACUGAGACACGGUCCAGACUCCUACGGGAGGCAGCAGUAGGGAAUCUUCCGCAAUGGGCGAAAGCCUGACGGAGCAACGCCGCGUGAGUGAUGAAGGUCUUCGGAUCGUAAAACUCUGUUAUUAGGGAAGAACAUAUGUGUAAGUAACUGUGCACAUCUUGACGGUACCUAAUCAGAAAGCCACGGCUAACUACGUGCCAGCAGCCGCGGUAAUACGUAGGUGGCAAGCGUUAUCCGGAAUUAUUGGGCGUAAAGCGCGCGUAGGCGGUUUUUUAAGUCUGAUGUGAAAGCCCACGGCUCAACCGUGGAGGGUCAUUGGAAACUGGAAAACUUGAGUGCAGAAGAGGAAAGUGGAAUUCCAUGUGUAGCGGUGAAAUGCGCAGAGAUAUGGAGGAACACCAGUGGCGAAGGCGACUUUCUGGUCUGUAACUGACGCUGAUGUGCGAAAGCGUGGGGAUCAAACAGGAUUAGAUACCCUGGUAGUCCACGCCGUAAACGAUGAGUGCUAAGUGUUAGGGGGUUUCCGCCCCUUAGUGCUGCAGCUAACGCAUUAAGCACUCCGCCUGGGGAGUACGACCGCAAGGUUGAAACUCAAAGGAAUUGACGGGGACCCGCACAAGCGGUGGAGCAUGUGGUUUAAUUCGAAGCAACGCGAAGAACCUUACCAAAUCUUGACAUCCUUUGACAACUCUAGAGAUAGAGCCUUCCCCUUCGGGGGACAAAGUGACAGGUGGUGCAUGGUUGUCGUCAGCUCGUGUCGUGAGAUGUUGGGUUAAGUCCCGCAACGAGCGCAACCCUUAAGCUUAGUUGCCAUCAUUAAGUUGGGCACUCUAAGUUGACUGCCGGUGACAAACCGGAGGAAGGUGGGGAUGACGUCAAAUCAUCAUGCCCCUUAUGAUUUGGGCUACACACGUGCUACAAUGGACAAUACAAAGGGCAGCGAAACCGCGAGGUCAAGCAAAUCCCAUAAAGUUGUUCUCAGUUCGGAUUGUAGUCUGCAACUCGACUACAUGAAGCUGGAAUCGCUAGUAAUCGUAGAUCAGCAUGCUACGGUGAAUACGUUCCCGGGUCUUGUACACACCGCCCGUCACACCACGAGAGUUUGUAACACCCGAAGCCGGUGGAGUAACCUUUUAGGAGCUAGCCGUCGAAGGUGGGACAAAUGAUUGGGGUGAAGUCGUAACAAGGUAGCCGUAUCGGAAGGUGCGGCUGGAUCACCUCCUUUCUAAGGA